Symsagittifera roscoffensis is the source of this 3609-nucleotide long non-coding RNA. RefSeq lists it as uncharacterized. NCBI's taxonomy places the organism in Eukaryota, Metazoa, Xenacoelomorpha, Acoela, Convolutidae. The transcript is spliced from 3 exons. The record is from RefSeq and is a predicted model, not a curated record.
CAUCGUGGUCAAACAAACAGCUGAAUUACAAUAAUGCGAAUAAAAAUUAUUAAAUUGCAUUACCCGUCCAUAAGGCAUGUGCGAAAAACAAGAUAAAAUAAUGCCGUUGAAACGCUGAGCUUACACAACUAAUCAAUAGCUUGCAUUCAAACUUAGUUGGUUUUAAAAAUUAGAAAGAUUGAUUAAUGCAACUCAUACCUUGGUUCUCUUAUUGAAUUCGUCAAAGUACCAGUGUUUUGUGGAACCAUGUUCAGUUAACAUCGACAGCAAUAAACUGACGAAUGAAUGGCUGCUUCUGACUGCUUCCAGACACUCCAGUAUGUCGUUCCAGGUGGGUGUUCCGAUAUUAAUGAUUUCAGGUCUAUGUGUGACUGGUACAUGAACAUAUUUUUUCCCGAUUGGUUGGAAAAAAAUACGCCCAAAGGAGUUUACCUGGUACCUCCUCUACCUCUAUCAAUGCCUCCUAACCCACCUGAGGGAUCUUCAGGGGGUCAAAAAUCCGACAAUGUCGGAUACAAACAGUACAUUAAUUUCAGAACAGGACAAAAAUCGAAAACCGAAGAAUUUAAUUUCGUGCAAAAAAUCCAAAAAUACGCCGUAGAAAAUGAAUUGCCAAUGUUCAUUUUUCACGGACUUGCUGUUGACAAAUCGCAAUGGGACAUGAUUUUAACAGUUGCGGAACAUGAAAUGCCUUCCGAAUGCCUGGACGAUUUGCGAAAUAGUUCUAAAAUUAAACUCAACCAUAAAGGUUUCCCCGAAAACUUAGAGAUUGAUUGCAUGACUAUUGACCCAAAAAAUGGAGUUGUCUUGUGGGAGAUCAAAAGUCGCAGUUAUCAAGGUCAAGCGACGAAAGGUUUGAAAAAAAUCAAUCAGGCCCUCGAACAGCUGAACAGAGACGAAUUAUUUGUUUCUUGGAUUUCACAGCAUUUCUGCUCUUCGAGUCAUGCUGUUAUAACAAAAAAAAAUGUUGUCUUACCUGAAGACGAAAUCUCAGAAGAUAAAAACCUUGAGUUUGAAAAAUUUCGCCAAUCUUACAAAGUUCUAGAUGCUUCGAUACUGCGAACGUGGGAGAGUUUUUCGAAUUGGUUUCGCUCCGAUAUCGAAUCUGAAAUUCCCAGUAAUUCGGAACAAACAUACAAAACACUUGUUCCCAUAAUGGUAGGCAUAAGCGUUUCGGUUUCAGUAAAAUGCGAGAACACAGCUGAAGUUCGACCAACAAAAACUUAUUUUGAAAAUCUUUCUCAUGCUAAAGCAGUGCAUAAACUGGAUUCAGAAAUUUCUGAACAAAAGUUAUCGCGAGACAAAAAGCCGUUCAGCGACCUGAUUCCGGCAUCUGAGCUAUCAUUCGCAAAAACCUCAAAGUCUUCGAAGCUUCUUUUCUUGACCCCACGGCAACAAGAUGUCUUAAGUUCUUCCAAUAACGGAAUGAAGCUGAUAAUAGGACCGGCAGGGACAGGAAAAACUAUUUUGACGCUUCAUAAAAUCAUUAAUUUGUGUAAAACACAACCGGAAGACAAAAUACUUCUGCUCUGCAGCGGAAAAUUUAUCGAGUCAUACUGUAAAAUGCUAGAGGACAACGAAAUUUCAUGUGAAAGGCUAAUGAUGGAUGGUCGGUGUAAUAAGGAGCAGAAAAUUUGGAAACGCGAAUAUUUGACACGCAAGGAUUACCGACCUUACAAAAGCAAAGUCUUCGAAUUUGUGUACGAACCGCUAUCUUCAGAUCUUCAAACGAAACAGAGCAUCAACACAAAAGCAUUUGGUCAAAAGCAAGUCAUCAUUGGGGAAACGACAGCUUUUCUAAACUCCCUAAAUGAAAAGGCUAAACAGUUUGUUUUGAAAAAAACUAAAAAAACUAAUGUUUCAGAAGACUAUCGAUCAGAGACAUCACGCUGGGUUAUGAAAACACAUUUGGUCAUUGAUGAUUGUGAUUUACCCGUAAUUUGUGAGAGCCAAUUGAACCCCUUAAGUCUUUUAACCAGCGAUCAAUUUCUUACCUGGUUAGUUACUGACAUUCACCAAUCAAAUAAAACACUGAUGUCGAACAUAACGCACAUCAAAAAAUUGAGGUCGUCAAAAAGUGUUGAAGUUUUUAUUCUCGAAGAAGUUCUACGAAACACGGUUCAAAUUAACCAAAUGACCCGCCGACUCGUUGAAUACAUGAAUCGCAGUCUAGAAGACGACGGGCACGUUUACCCUGGUACUUUAAUAGAUGUAAAGCAAGGAUCUAAUUUCCAGGGACCUCCGAUAACUAUUUUUGAGCUUAAAAAAAACAUUGCAUCUCGACAAACUUACCCAACUAAACUUAUAGCGUUCCUUCUAUGUCAAAUGAUGAAAGAAGGAAUGCAAGCUGGUGACAUUCAUUUUUUGACAUCUGGUGACGGUGCAAAUUUUUUUAAAUGGUUGGGGAAAACCAUUCGCCUGGAGUAUCCCGAGCUUUUGUCGCAACUGGGAGUUAACGAUGAAACAGAAGUUGACUGGUCCAGUUUCUGUUCGCAGAUUUAUAUAACAAAGUCAUCCGAAUGGGAAAGGGUUGUUAUUGACGGUCGAUUCGAUGAAGAAAAUCAUCUUAAUUCGAUUAAUUAUAGUAAAUUCGAUGAAUCUGAUAUGAUAAACAUCUUAUAUCUGGCAUGUACACGCGCACGAUCUCAACUUUACAUUAUUGCCCAUCCAACGUUUAGCGACCUGUUGUCAAAGAAACUUGGUAUGCCGAUGGAAAAUCUGAUAGUUCAGAAAUACGAAUGGUGCGAAAAACACAACGAAUUGAAAAGGAGCAAUGAUGGAAGUGAUUCAGAAGAAGAAAUCGAGAGAGGUGGAAAGAAGUUCAAAUUUUUUUCUAAUUGAAUCAGAAGCAGAAUAUGAGAACUGCCAAUCCAGCUCGGCUUCAGAUCGAUGAUAAAACCCUACAAAGUUUCAUAAAGCAGAGAAAACAGAUUUUUAACAGUCGCUGUAAAAUACUGCUUAUAAAGUAUUUCGUUGGUAGUUAGACUGAUUAACGUUAGUUAUUUUGAUCAAAGGUUUCUUAACAUGUUUAUAUGCUGUUAGAAUUCAGCCUGCUAAUUGAAGCAAAAUAGCUAAAAUUUGUGAAAUAUAAAAAGUUUUAUUUUAACAUUCGAAAUAGGUCAGUUAAACUCCAUGACUAAAUUAGAUUAAUGUAAUUUGGUGUUAAAAUAUAUUUAAAAAAAACAUGUUUGAAAUAAACAGCGGUAAAUAAACUCAGAUUUUGAUUAAACGAAAGUUUUGAAAUCAUUUGGGGGAGGCCAGAAGGUCAUUUGAUUUGUUUAUUGACACUGAAAAGGCAAAGCAUUUAAAAACUGAAUCAAGAAAUUUUUUGUUCUGUUUUUUUUUUACAGUUCAAUGAAAUUCCGUGACUUUGUAACACACGUGAGCAUGUCUAAAACAGUUUUCGUAUGACUGCUACUUGUCAUUUCUUAAUUUACUCUGUAUCAUCACUUCGUUUUCAUUUAAAUCUAAUCUUUGACUCAUAUCGUUUUAGUUACGAGCAUCGCUUUGAUCUGAAGUUGUCUAUUUUUAAUUGGUUGUCUCUUUGUUCAUACCGGUGUUACAAUUCAUUUAGAAAUACCCUUUCAAUUUAACGCUUUUGACAUUUCA